Molecule: ribosomal RNA, 439 nt
Filed under: uncultured bacterium
Lineage: Bacteria
Description: partial 16S ribosomal RNA
Rfam family: Bacterial small subunit ribosomal RNA
Source: RNAcentral
CUACGGGUCGCUGCAGUGAGGAAUAUUGCACAAUGGAGGAAACUCUGAUGCAGCAACGCCGCGUGGGGGAUGACGCAUUUCGGUGUGUAAACUCCUUUUAUGAGUCAAGAAAAUGACGGUAGCUCAUGAAUAAGCACCGGCUAACUCCGUGCCAGCAGCCGCGGUAAUACGGAGGGUGCAAGCGUUACUCGGAAUCACUGGGCGUAAAGGACGCGUAGGCGGGAUAUCAAGUCAGGUGUGAAAUCCUACAGCUUAACUGUAGAACUGCACUUGAAACUGGUAACCUAGAGUAUGGGAGGGGGAGAUGGAAUUAGUGGUGUAGGGGUAAAAUCCGUAGAUAUCACUAGGAAUACCUAAAGCGAAGGCGAUCUCCUGGAACAUAACUGACGCUAAGGCGUGAAAGCGUGGGGAGCAAACAGGAUUAGAUACCCGCGUAGUC